This 31-nucleotide ribosomal RNA is filed under the name Saccharomyces cerevisiae (brewer's yeast). Its description in RNAcentral is "partial 28S ribosomal RNA". The record is from RNAcentral. Lineage: Eukaryota; Fungi; Ascomycota; Saccharomycetes; Saccharomycetales; Saccharomycetaceae.
ACCCGCUGACCUAAGCACAAAGAGGGGGGAG